UACGAAGGGGGGCUAGCGUUGCUCGGAAUUACUGGGCGUAAAGCGUGCGCAGGCGGUUUUGUAAGUCUGUCGUGAAAGCCCCGGGCUCAACCUGGGGAAUUGCGAUGGAGACUGCAAGGCUUGAAUCUGGCAGAGGGGGGUAGAAUUCCACGUGUAGCAGUGAAAUGCGUAGAGAUGUGGAGGAACACCGAUGGCGAAGGCAGCCCCCUGGGUCAAGAUUGACGCUCGAUGCACGAAAGCGUGGGGAGCAAACAGG
RNAcentral lists this ribosomal RNA (256 nucleotides) under uncultured bacterium. RNAcentral's name for it is "partial 16S ribosomal RNA". It matches the Rfam family "Bacterial small subunit ribosomal RNA", at positions 524 to 776 of the family's 1533-position model. The record is from RNAcentral.